CCUACGGGUGGCAGCAGUGGGGAAUAUUGCACAAUGGGCGCAAGCCUGAUGCAGCCAUGCCGCGUGUGUGAAGAAGGCCUUCGGGUUGUAAAGCACUUUCAGCGGGGAGGAAGGCGUUAAGGUUAAUAACCUUGGCGAUUGACGUUACCCGCAGAAGAAGCACCGGCUAACUCCGUGCCAGCAGCCGCGGUAAUACGGAGGGUGCAAGCGUUAAUCGGAAUUACUGGGCGUAAAGCGCACGCAGGCGGUCUGUCAAGUCGGAUGUGGAAUCCCCGGGCUCAACCUGGGAACUGCAUUCGAAACUGGCAGGCUAGAGUCUUGUAGAGGGGGGUAGAAUUCCAGGUGUAGCGGUGAAAUGCGUAGAGAUCUGGAGGAAUACCGGUGGCGAAGGCGGCCCCCUGGACAAAGACUGACGCUCAGGUGCGAAAGCGUGGGGAGCAAACAGGAUUAGAUACCCUUGUAGUC
This 465-nucleotide ribosomal RNA is filed under the name uncultured Klebsiella sp. RNAcentral's name for it is "bacterial SSU rRNA". It matches the Rfam family "Bacterial small subunit ribosomal RNA", at positions 338 to 795 of the family's 1533-position model. The record is from RNAcentral. Lineage: Bacteria; Pseudomonadati; Pseudomonadota; Gammaproteobacteria; Enterobacterales; Enterobacteriaceae.